UGCCUGGCCAUGGAACACUCUAGCGGAGGAGAGCAAAGUCCUCCCCAAACCAAGGCCACAAUAACUAGCACGGUGCUCUGCACAUCAUAUGCACUCAGCACUUGUGAAAUUGAGUUGAAUCAGAAACAAAACGAGGAGCAGAGGUCAAGUCCUGCAAAAGAUAAACCGUGCUAUCUCCGUGACAACAAGCCCAAGUUAGCCUGCUAGAGGAUGAAACACUUUGCGGAAGAGAACCAAAGUUGCCCAGUCCACAAGCCAACUCACUCUCAACAGCAGAGCUGUCUGGUCACCAGCAGCUGACCCCCUUCUCCCAUACACACACAUGAAGAUUGCUAUACCUUAUAAAGGUACGGCAGGUUUUAUAGGUAUAGCAAUUAAUUUAUGGCAGGAGCCUGCCAUAAAUUGCUGACUUGCUCAAUCAUGAGCUAAAUAAGUUUUGGGAUGGCUCAUUACACAGUAACAGCUAACUAACACACCCAGAGCUGACAGGAUGCCAGGAUUAACAACAUGCUGACUACAAGUUAGCUGGCACACUAUAGGGACCGUCUAGGUACUGAAUUCCUUUUCCCCUUAUUAGAAGUUGGGUCCCUUGAAUUAUAAAGAAAUGCAUGUAGACAUGUAUGUGCUUAAAACUCACACAGUAUCACACAACACAGGAGGAAAUAGAUGACAGCCUGACCACUAGGGCAAAGGCCAAAUAGCAAGGUAAGGCAUUUGUCUGGAAUCUAUUCCCUCCAAAUCUAAACUCUGGAGGUCAAGGCUGUGGACAGGACCCACCUCCUGGGACCCCGCUGUCCUCUGAUCUCUGGAGGGGAGAAUGGCCCCACCAAGCAGCAGAUGGGCAGCAGUGGCCUACCUGUGGCCACCUCCUGCUGGCAGCCCCUGCUCUCUCAGGGCACUCUCUCUUCCUUUGGGACUGAGAAGAGAUGUGGGUAGGGAGGGGGAGCUCCCUCCCUCCUGGCAGA
RNAcentral lists this long non-coding RNA (965 nucleotides) under Homo sapiens (human). RNAcentral describes it as "novel transcript, antisense to C17orf51". The record is from RNAcentral. Lineage: Eukaryota; Metazoa; Chordata; Mammalia; Primates; Hominidae.